RNAcentral lists this ribosomal RNA (413 nucleotides) under uncultured bacterium. RNAcentral's name for it is "bacterial SSU rRNA". It matches the Rfam family "Bacterial small subunit ribosomal RNA", at positions 28 to 433 of the family's 1533-position model. The record is from RNAcentral.
GAUGAACGCUAGCGGCAGGCCUAAUACAUGCAAGCCGGACGGCAAGUUGAGUAGCAAUACUUGACCUAGAGUGGCGUAAGGGUGCGUAACACGUAUGCAAUCUGCCCACAGCCGGGAGAUAGCCCUCCGAAAGGAGGAUUAAUAUCCCAUAGGAAGAUGAGAUGGCAUCAUUUUAUUUUAAACUACGGGGCUGUGGAUGAGCAUGCGGUUGAUUAGCUAGUUGGCGGGGUAAAGGCCCACCAAGGCGAUGAUCAAUAGGGGACCUGAGAGGGUGAUCCCCCACACUGGCACUGAGAUACGGGCCAGGACUCCUACGGGAGGCAGCAGUAGGGAAUAUUGGGACAAUGGGUGUAAGCCUGAUCAGCCAUGACCGCGUGCAGGGAAGAAGGGCCCUUCUAGGGGUUGUAAACUGC